CCUACGGGAGGCGGCAGUGGGGAAUAUUGGACAAUGGGCGAAAGCCUGAUCCAGCCAUGCCGCGUGUGUGAAGAAGGUCUUCGGAUUGUAAAGCACUUUAAGUUGGGAGGAAGGGCAUUAACCUAAUACGUUAGUGUUUUGACGUUACCGACAGAAUAAGCACCGGCUAACUCUGUGCCAGCAGCCGCGGUAAUACAGAGGGUGCAAGCGUUAAUCGGAAUUACUGGGCGUAAAGCGCGCGUAGGUGGUUUGUUAAGUUGGAUGUGAAAUCCCCGGGCUCAACCUGGGAACUGCAUUCAAAACUGACAAGCUAGAGUAUGGUAGAGGGUGGUGGAAUUUCCUGUGUAGCGGUGAAAUGCGUAGAUAUAGGAAGGAACACCAGUGGCGAAGGCGACCACCUGGACUGAUACUGACACUGAGGUGCGAAAGCGUGGGGAGCAAACAGGAUUUAGGAUACCCGUGGUAGUCCACGACCGUAAACGAUGUACAACUACGUCGGUUAGGGACGUCCUAGAGCUCGUUAGUGGCGCGAGACGUACGACGAGUUAGUUACGUACCGUACCGUGGGAGGUACGGCCGGAACCGUAAACGGUUAAACGUUAACGAAAGUAAGUUAGUUACGGCGNGAGAGNGACGACGGACGACGACGAGGGAGGAGG
Molecule: ribosomal RNA, 659 nt
Filed under: uncultured bacterium
Lineage: Bacteria
Description: bacterial SSU rRNA
Rfam family: Bacterial small subunit ribosomal RNA (bases 1-497)
Source: RNAcentral